This is a long non-coding RNA of Siniperca chuatsi (mandarin fish), 146 nucleotides long. RefSeq lists it as uncharacterized. NCBI's taxonomy places the organism in Eukaryota, Metazoa, Chordata, Actinopteri, Centrarchiformes, Sinipercidae. The record is from RefSeq and is a predicted model, not a curated record. The transcript is spliced from 3 exons.
AUGUGUGUGUGUGUUAGGUAUGUGUAAACUGUGAUGUAAUCAAACCUGAGGAGAACCUCACCUCUUUUUCUGAGUCUGUAGUUCAGGGACUUGUUGUGUAACUUCCUGUGGGCUUGGUUAGAUGUGUGUGUGUGUUAGGUAUGUGU